This is a non-coding RNA of Pelobates cultripes (western spadefoot toad), 342 nucleotides long. NCBI's taxonomy places the organism in Eukaryota, Metazoa, Chordata, Amphibia, Anura, Pelobatidae. The record is from the annotation of a GenBank genome assembly.
GUUAGAAAUAUUUGUGUUUGCGGAGGGAAAUCAGAGUGCAGGUUUGGUUUUGAAGAAAGAAGGAAUGCAAAGGAUGUUCAAAAUCCAUAAACAUGCUUUUCUGUAGAGGAUGAGAUUGGUGAUGGGAUGUAUAGCAGUUGGUGCAAUACGGAAACAUAUUGGCAAAUAAAUAAAAUCUCCCUAAAAAUGAAUAAUGCAGGUGCAUACACAAUACGAAAGUAUUAUUUACAAACUAUACAGUAAUUAACAGUUACAAGGCAUACACUACUAAUAGUUGCAAAAGUAUAGUAGGAUAUUGAGGAAGAUGGGUAAAACGGCAUGUGGUUUCUCUCUUGAGUGAAG